This 527-nucleotide ribosomal RNA is filed under the name uncultured Entrophosporaceae. RNAcentral describes it as "SSU rRNA". It matches the Rfam family "Eukaryotic small subunit ribosomal RNA", at positions 569 to 1092 of the family's 1831-position model. The record is from RNAcentral. Lineage: Eukaryota; Fungi; Glomeromycota; Glomeromycetes; Entrophosporales; Entrophosporaceae.
AGCAGCCGCGGUAAUUCCAGCUCCAAUAGCGUAUAUUAAAGUUGUUGCAGUUAAAAAGCUCGUAGUUGAAUUUCGGGAUUGACACAUCGGUCGUGCCUUAAGGGGUAUGAACUGGUGUAGUCAGUUUCUCACCUUCUGGAGAACCGCGAUGUCCUUAAUUGGGUGCCGCGGGGAACCAGGACCUUUACUUUGAAAAAAUUAGAGUGUUUAAAGCAGGCAUUUUGCUUGAAUACAUUAGCAUGGAAUAAUAAAAUAGGACGGAUGGUUCUAUUUUGUUGGUUUCUAGGAUCACCGUAAUGAUUAAUAGGGAUAGUUGGGGGCAUUAGUAUUCAAUUGUCAGAGGUGAAAUUCUUGGAUUUAUUGAAGACUAACUACUGCGAAAGCAUUUGCCAAGGAUGUUUUCAUUAAUCAAGAACGAAAGUUAGGGGAUCGAAGACGAUCAGAUACCGUCGUAGUCUUAACCAUAAACUAUGCCGACUAGGAAUCAGACGAUGUUAAUUUUUUAAUGACUCGUUUGGCACCUUACG